UCGAGAAUCUUUCGCAAUGGGCGAAAGCCUGACGAAGCGACGCUGUGUGAGCGAUGAAGGCCUUCGGGUUGUAAAGCUCUUUCGCAUAGGAACAAGAGAGGUCCGUGAAUAACGGGCCGAUUUGAGGGUACUAUGUAAAGAAGCACCGGCUAACUCCGUGCCAGCAGCUGCGGUAAUACGGAGGGUGCAAGCAUUAAUCGGAUUUAUUGGGCGUAAAGGGCGCGUAGGCGGGUUUUUAAGUCAGGUGUGAAAUUCUGAAGCUCAACUUCAGAGCUGCAUUUGAAACUGGAAAUCUCGAGGGUAGGCGGAGAAAAUGGAAUUCCACGUGUAGCGGUGAAAUGCGUAGAUAUGUGGAAGAACACCGGUGGCGAAAGCGAUUUUCUAGCUUACAACUGACGCUGAGGCGCGAGAGCAAGGGGAGCAAACAGGAUUAGAUACCCGGGUAGUCC
RNAcentral lists this ribosomal RNA (449 nucleotides) under uncultured bacterium. Its description in RNAcentral is "bacterial SSU rRNA". It matches the Rfam family "Bacterial small subunit ribosomal RNA", at positions 355 to 796 of the family's 1533-position model. The record is from RNAcentral.